RNAcentral lists this long non-coding RNA (444 nucleotides) under Mustela putorius furo (domestic ferret). RNAcentral describes it as "lncRNA (ENSMPUG00000024947.1)". The record is from RNAcentral. Lineage: Eukaryota; Metazoa; Chordata; Mammalia; Carnivora; Mustelidae.
CACAAAGGUCCUAGGAGAUGAGCUUGAGAGCAUCAGCCCUUGAAAGCCUGAACAGACGUGGGGAGGCGUCAGGGAGCCCAGCCUGGCAGGGAGGGCGGUACGGAGCCCCCAGGAAGAAGCACGGCCCUCCCCUUGGAUCCCUGAAUGGGCUGAGGCUGCGUCCUUCUACUGGAUCCCGCGUCAAGGGGCUCUCCUAACAGCCCAGGUGUCCAGGGCAGCAGCACCCAGGACCCCAGCACCUAUCCCAGCACAGUGGAGGCGGCCGCAGCUCCCUGAGCCCGUGCGUACGUGCAUGAGAAUGACGGAGCUCCAGAGACAGGCGUGGAUGGAGGGUCAAGGGUCUGUUUCCCCAGAAGCUGCCAGUCUCUGGGACGAGGGAGGAGGCUUGUGGGGCUGGUGCCUCUUAGGCUCCCUGGUGGCACUUCCCAUCCGGGAAAAAUCUCU